GUUGGGGUAGCCAAGCUUGGUCUACGGCGCUGGUUUGCUAAACCAGUGUCCCUUCGGGACUCGUGGGUUCAAAUCCCACCCCCAGCG
Molecule: transfer RNA, 87 nt
Filed under: Methanobacteriota archaeon
Lineage: Archaea; Methanobacteriati; Methanobacteriota
Description: tRNA-Ser
Rfam family: tRNA
About the family: Transfer RNA (tRNA) molecules are approximately 80 nucleotides in length.
Source: RNAcentral